GGGUUGUGAGGUUAAGCGACUAAGCGUACACGGUGGAUGCCCUGGCAGUCAGAGGCGAUGAAGGACGUGCUAAUCUGCGAUAAGCGCCGGUAAGGUGAUAUGAACCGUUAUAACCGGCGAUUUCCGAAUGGGGAAACCCAGUGUGACUCGUCACACUAUCAUUAACUGAAUCCAUAGGUUAAUGAGGCGAACCGGGGGAACUGAAACAUCUAAGUACCCCGAGGAAAAGAAAUCAACCGAGAUUCCCCCAGUAGCGGCGAGCGAACGGGGAGGAGCCCAGAGCCUGAAUCAGCAUGUGUGUUAGUGGAAGCGUCUGGAAAGGCGCGCGAUACAGGGUGACAGCCCCGUACACAAAAGCGCAUAUGCUGUGAGCUCGAUGAGUAGGGCGGGACACGUGGUAUCCUGUCUGAAUAUGGGGGGACCAUCCUCCAAGGCUAAAUACUCCUGACUGACCGAUAGUGAACCAGUACCGUGAGGGAAAGGCGAAAAGAACCCCGGCGAGGGGAGUGAAAAAGAACCUGAAACCGUGUACGUACAAGCAGUGGGAGCCCCACCACUAAGCCAGUGGUGAACUCCACAUACGCAUCCUUUGCUGAGGAUACGGUUAACGGAGCGAAAGCGACGUUCAACCGCAAAAGAAGCAGAGGGGGCUUAGUGGUGGGGUGACUGCGUACCUUUUGUAUAAUGGGUCAGCGACUUAUAUUCUGUAGCA
This 712-nucleotide ribosomal RNA is filed under the name Salmonella enterica subsp. enterica serovar Reading. RNAcentral's name for it is "partial 23S ribosomal RNA". It matches the Rfam family "Bacterial large subunit ribosomal RNA", at positions 1 to 642 of the family's 2925-position model. The record is from RNAcentral. Lineage: Bacteria; Pseudomonadati; Pseudomonadota; Gammaproteobacteria; Enterobacterales; Enterobacteriaceae.